AGAGUUUGAUCAUGGCUCAGGACGAACGCUGGCGGCGUGCUCUAAUACAUGCAAGUCGAACGAACUCUGGUAUUGAUUGGUGCUUGCAUCAUGAUUUACAUUUGAGUGAGUGGCGAACUGGUGAGUAACACGUGGGAAACCUGCCCGGAAGCGGGGGAUAACACCUGGAAACAGAUGCUAAUGCCGCAUAACAACUUGGACCGCAUGGUCCGAGCUUGAAAGAUGGCUUCGGCUAUCACUUCUGGAUGGUCCCGCGGCGUAUUAGCUAGAUGGUGAGGUAACGGCUCACCAUGGCAAUGAUACGUAGCCGACCUGAGAGGGUAAUCGGCCACAUUGGGACUGAGACACGGCCCAAACUCCUACGGGAGGCAGCAGUAGGGAAUCUUCCACAAUGGACGAAAGUCUGAUGGAGCAACGCCGCGUGAGUGAAGAAGGGUUUCGGCUCGUAAAACUCUGUUGUUAAAGAAGAACAUAUCUGAGAGUAACUGUUCAGGUAUUGACGGUAUUUAACCAGAAAGCCACGGCUAACUACGUGCCAGCAGCCGCGGUAAUACGUAGGUGGCAAGCGUUGUCCGGAUUUAUUGGGCGUAAAGCGAGCGCAGGCGGUUUUUUAAGUCUGAUGUGAAAGCCUUCGGCUCAACCGAAGAAGUGCAUCGGAAACUGGGAAACUUGAGUGCAGAAGAGGACAGUGGAACUCCAUGUGUAGCGGUGAAAUGCGUAGAUAUAUGGAAGAACACCAGUGGCGAAGGCGGCUGUCUGGUCUGUAACUGACGCUGAGGCUCGAAAGUAUGGGUAGCAAACAGGAUUAGAUACCCUGGUAGUCCAUACCGUAAACGAUGAAUGCUAAGUGUUGGAGGGUUUCCGCCCUUCAGUGCUGCAGCU
This 882-nucleotide ribosomal RNA is filed under the name uncultured bacterium. RNAcentral describes it as "bacterial SSU rRNA". It matches the Rfam family "Bacterial small subunit ribosomal RNA", at positions 8 to 853 of the family's 1533-position model. The record is from RNAcentral.